GGUAUUAUUAUUCCCAAUUUACAGAUGGGGAAACUGAGGCACAGAGGGGUGAAGAACCCAGCCCAAGGUCACUCAGCUAACAUGUGGCAGAAUGAGGACUUAAACUCCAGUCUAGAUGAUUCAGAAGCUGUAAGUGAGGAGGCUGCUGCCACAGACAUGGACAGGAAUGAUAGUGGUUUCACUGGUUAUGAAGCAAGUAGAUGGGUAGGCUCAAGAGAGGAACUAAUGAUAGAAUUGAUGUUCUGUGGACUUAGGGAGGGAUCAGUCAGAGAUGACUCCCAGCUUCAGCCUUGAUCAACUAGGUGGACAGUGAUUUACAUUCACCAAAGUGAAGAAACGGGAAGAGCAGAUUUGGAGGGAAAAAAAAUCAUUCAUCUAAAUUUGAUACAUUUUACUUCAGUAAAAAAAGAGAGAGAGAGACAUGGGUUGAUUAAAUGAAAACAAAACAAGAUGAUUCCAUGCCUAGAACUCCCUCGCUCUGCCACCCCUCCUUCAACUCCAGCAUUCUCUCACAUCCUUUGUCCCUGCUUCCUUCCCGCGUCCUCAUGUACAUUGGUACUUUCUGAUCCUUGGGUCCUCCAAUACCCAAUGCCAAGCAGAUUGCGUUCAAGAGAAAUGCCCAGAGGACACUGUCCUUGGCCACACCACCCAUCGCCUCACCCGUGCUUUCUCCUGACCUUCUCAGGGUGGAGUUCCCUUCAUCUUUCUAUUCCUGAGACCAUUCUCUGCAUGCAGAGCAGGCUUGAUAGGUGUGUGGCCUCUGCAGUUACACAGGGCCCCACACUCAGAAGGGCCCACUUUCAGUUUAAUGUUCCUCUGUUGCAGGCUUGAAACUCCUAACAUAUUAAAGGGCCCCACACUUUCAUUUUGCAGUAGGUCCUGCAAAUUAUAUAGCCAGUCCUGUAUGUAUGUCUACAUCGUAAUGGUGCAAACCAAUGUGUGCAGCCUUUCCCAUCUGCGGCAAUGAACCUCAUUUCCAUCUAGGAAGUCCAACUGCUUCAAAUCACAGGGAGACAAAGCGAAAAAAGAGCUCAGUUCCUUUGUUUCUAUGAAAUACAUUUUAUGUGUAGUUUUAUGUUUCUUCCUGGAUAAUAAUUUAGGAGGGAGCCCUGAGAAACAGGAUAUUCCAAAAUCUGAAAAAAUCCAAAAUCCUUCUAGUCCCAGAAUUUUGGAUAAGGGAUACUCAACCUGUAAUCUCAGUCUGGCUUCCAAAGCAUAAAAGCAUAGCAGCAUCCAGAUAUGCAAAUAAACUUAUGGCCAACCCAAAGGUCUAGUUUCUGGUUUGACUUUGUGGAAGAAAGGAUUUCCUGUUUCACAGAAUCCUUUUGUUCCUUGCCCUUUAUCCCCCCGAGAGAGACAGCCACUUAGCAUAAAUCAUGAAAGGGUGUUCUGGGGACUAUCAGAACCCUCAAGAGAAAGGUUUGUUGGUCUGGUUUAUGCUACAUUUAGAAGGCGGCCCAGGACUGUUCCUACAGCCUAGACUGGAACCAGGGCUCAGGGUAGGGGUGACUCAAGAGAGAGAGAGAUCAAAAAGCAACUGACUGGGAAAGUCAAGAAACAUUUUUGCCACUCCUGGAAUCCAUGAAUGUUGAAGAUUGACUCAGCAGGCUGUUUUCUUUCUGGUGAUGGACGUUUCCUUCGAGAUGCAGCAGGGUUACAAUUCCAUACUGUAAUGCGUUAGAUAAUGAGCCUUCAACUGGGUCUAAAAUUAGGACUUUGACAUACAAGAAAAAUGUCUUCAGGCUUCAGGUUUUCUUUAUCUGGUUUCUUUUGGAUACUUUUAGCUCUUCUGUCUAUCCUCCAGAAAAGACCAAGCUGAUCCACUCACUGUCAGCACAAAGAAUGCUGAAAGGGUCACUGAAGACAAAUUGUGCUGGUUUGGGAAUAAGACAAAAGAAGCCAAACUCCUCUUUCCACAACUAUGUACUAGCCUAGAAGUACCCUGGCCACUUUAGUAAUUUGUUUUACCUCAUUUGACAUUGACCUAUGAUAUGAUCGACAUGACUCACCGGUGCCUAGAGAGGCUCUAACUAACUUGUUUUUCCUGGCUCUGUGCCCUUCCCAGAGCACAUCACCACCCCACACCCCAAAUUCACUCCUUCUUCUUAUAGCUUCUUACAGCUGGCUUGUGGGAAAUGGGACUGGUCUGGGGUUCUCAAGGGUGGGCGCUACCUCUCUGGUAGUGUUCUGGAAAGUGGCUAUUAUUUCAGAACUGAGAGCACUGCAAUGAGCAGACACUGCAUGGACUGUUCUUCUGAAGAUUAAAUUCCACAGAUCUGGACAUUGCCCAAGAAGGCCCUUCAUUUAGCAUGGCUUGUAUGCUCAGGUUCCAGGCUUCUUAUUUCCUACCUGGAGAACUCUUGCUCUUCACUGAUCCUUAAUUCUUGGUGUACCAAUUUGUGUUUCAGCUGUGCCAAAAUGAAGGAUCAGGAUUAUCUUCUAAACAAAAAGAAUGACCUCCUUCUCUUGCAUCUAGGCCCUAAGGCAUUUCCCUGCUCACUAAUGGGAUUAAAAGUAUUUUCAUAUGUUUAUUAGCCAUGGUGAAUUUUUCAUUCUUAUCUGUCCACUUUUAUUGCGUUGCUUUUUCUUAACAGUUUAUAAGAACCAUCAUAUAUUGGAACUUGGAACUUUUUAUUAAAUGUAAUGUAAUUACUUGUUUAAACUGAA
Long non-coding RNA from Sapajus apella (tufted capuchin), 2667 nucleotides. RefSeq lists it as uncharacterized. NCBI's taxonomy places the organism in Eukaryota, Metazoa, Chordata, Mammalia, Primates, Cebidae. The transcript has 2 exons. The record is from RefSeq and is a predicted model, not a curated record.